GACGAACGCUGGCGGCGUGCUUAACACAUGCAAGUCGAACGGAAAGGCCCUGCUUUUGUGGGGUGCUCGAGUGGCGAACGGGUGAGUAACACGUGAGUAACCUGCCCUUGACUUUGGGAUAACUUCAGGAAACUGGGGCUAAUACCGGAUAGGAGCUCCUGCUGCAUGGUGGGGGUUGGAAAGUUUCGGCGGUUGGGGAUGGACUUGCGGCUUAUCAGCUUGUUGGUGGGGUAGUGGCUUACCAAGGCGUUGACGGGUAGCCGGCCUGAGAGGGUGACCGGCCACAGUGGGACUGAGAUACGGCCCAGACUCCUACGGGAGGCAGCAGUGGGGAAUAGUGCACAAUGGGCGGAAGCCUGAUGCAGCAACUCCGCGUGCGGGAUGACGGCCUUCGGGUUGUAAACCGCUUUCGCCUGUGACGAAGCGUGAGUGACGGUAAUGGGUAAAGAAGCACCGGCUAACUACGUG
RNAcentral lists this ribosomal RNA (468 nucleotides) under uncultured bacterium. RNAcentral's name for it is "partial 16S ribosomal RNA". It matches the Rfam family "Bacterial small subunit ribosomal RNA", at positions 28 to 507 of the family's 1533-position model. The record is from RNAcentral.